AUCCAGCUAACGAGUUCGAAACAGGACGACACGCGCGUCAAUCUGGAU
This 48-nucleotide non-coding RNA is filed under the name Schistosoma mansoni. The record is from RNAcentral. Lineage: Eukaryota; Metazoa; Platyhelminthes; Trematoda; Strigeidida; Schistosomatidae.